Molecule: ribosomal RNA, 497 nt
Filed under: uncultured bacterium
Lineage: Bacteria
Description: partial 16S ribosomal RNA
Rfam family: Bacterial small subunit ribosomal RNA
Source: RNAcentral
GAUGAACGCUGGCGGCGUGCCUAAUACAUGCAAGUCGAGCGAACGGACGAGAAGCUUGCUUCUCUGAUGUUAGCGGCGGACGGGUGAGUAACACGUGGAUAACCUACCUAUAAGACUGGGAUAACUUCGGGAAACCGUAGCUAAUACCGGAUAAUAUUUUGAACCGCAUGGUUCAAAAGUGAAAGACGGUCUUGCUGUCACUUAUAGAUGGAUCCGCGCUGCAUUAGCUAGUUGGUAAGGUAACGGCUUACCAAGGCAACGAUGCAUAGCCGACCUGAGAGGGUGAUCGGCCACACUGGAACUGAGACACGGUCCAGACUCCUACGGGAGGCAGCAGUAGGGAAUCUUCCGCAAUGGGCGAAAGCUUGACGGAGCAACGCCGCGUGAGUGAUGAAGGUCUUCGGAUCGUAAAACUCUGUUAUUAGGGAAGAACAUAUGUGUAAGUAACUGUGCACAUCUUGACGGUACCUAAUCAGAAAGCCACGGCUAACUACGUG